CCCCAACCAACAACAGCUCGGGUUUCAGAAAGGAAGAAAGUCUGAAGGGGGGUGGUCAAGCAUCCAAACGCAGGCGCCUCGGCUUAAGCAAGAAGGUGGUGUGGGCAGGAGACUGCGUGCGCACAGGGACAGCCCAGCCAUGGGCGAGACAGCAGCGGCCACGGAGGGAGACCCACCACGAUCGACAAAGCCUCAACUAGUACGAUUUGAAAAAUCCCCCGCAGGCACUGGCUUCGGUGCCAAAAUCUCCCUGGAUUUAUUUUCAGGCAAGUGACUCACAGCCUCCUUUCCAUAAGUAAUUCCAUCAAAAUGAGUCGCCGGUUCCACUAGCCCGACUUUCCGCUGCCCUCCGGCUGCCCCUCCCUCCUCUCCGCCCAUCCGGCAAACCAGACAGCUCCCAGACAGAACAGCGGUACCCCAGGGGAGCAGAGAGCAGGCUCCCGGCCCCGCCCCCGCCUCCGGAGCGAUGAAUGGGGCGCGGGCGGGCGCGAGCGCGAGGAGGGAGUGCGGGGUGUGUACGCGUGUGUGCGCGCGUGGGCACGCACCCGGCCAACUUACGGAGGUGGAGUUGGUCCUCGCCUGGCCCUGGUUUCGCACCUCCUGCUCCCGGAACUGCAGCCCCGCCAGAUGCUUCUCCAGCGCCUCCCAGUCCAUAGGGGGAACCGGGGGCUCUUCCGGGACGAACGUCCCGCCGUCCGGGGGCUGAAGACAGGGCCCCCCUGCCACCCGGCCCCUGGCGAUGCGCGGGCCCUCCGCCGGCUGGGGCUUCUGAAUCGCCCGCCGGGGUCCGCGGGGGCCGCUCGGACGGCCGGCCACCACCACAUUGCCAUUGUGCCUGAGGUCCUGGGGUUCCUGGGGGCGGAGGUUGCCGUUGGGCAUUGGGGGCGGUGUGUCAGUGGUGGCGCUCCGACCCCCGCCGCCGUCGCUGCGGGUCCUGGCGCUCAGGUCCCUCGGCUCCCGGACCGGACAGCGGUCAUCCUGGUACCCUCGCUCGUCUUCCUCUUCCUCCUCCUCCCCGUCCUGCUCCGGCGCCCACUCAUCAAUCACCUUCUGGUAGACCGGGAAGGGCGCUUCAUAGUCCUCCAAGGCAGAUACCAGGUCCAGGCUGCCCCCCGGCGACGACGAGGAUUUGCACUCCGAGCAAGGGGUCACUUUGGUGGAGUUGGACUGCGAACUGGAGCGGCUGCUGCUGCUGCUGCCGGCGUCACUGCCUAGAUCCAUCCCAUCCUCUCGGUAGUCCUGGGGGAGGAGGCAGAGAGAGUUAGUCGCCGAGCCGAGCUGCUCGGCCGCCGGCGCCCCGCGCCUCGGACGGAGGAGCCCGUGGAGGCCCGGGGGCAGGAGCCGGCCCGGUCCGAGGUGUCCCCUUCGCCCCGCUCCCGCGCACAGCCAGACUUCCCGCGGUUCACUAACCCUCAGAUUCGCAAAGGGGCGCCCGGCCGCCAGCGCGCACACUUCACGCGAGGAGCGCCGGGGCGCGCGCCGACUUUGUUUUAACCAUUUUGCGCCGGGCGGCCCCAGCACCCCGCCCCGGGGAUCCUCGGAGGGCCGGACGCUUCCCACCGAAUUCUGACUCCCCGGGGGCGGGAGCCGCGAGGGGGCGGGCGGCCGCCGAUUUCGCACCUCGCGGGCGGCGAGACCACCCCCGCCCCGCCCCGCCCCGCCCCUUCCCCGCCCGCCGCGCGGCGCCGCCAGCCCGGGCCGCCGAGGGCGGCUGCACUUUCUAAGGAGCAGCGAGGUGCCGCCGCCGCCGCCUCUCCUCCAGUUAGCGCAGGGUCGGGAUCGGCGCGCUCUGCCCGCGCCGGGCAGCUUGGCCCCGGCUCCCCAAGGUGCGCCGGCCCGGGCGCGGCUCAGUCGCGGAGGCUGCGCGGGUCCCGCCACCGAGCAUGCCCAGAGCAGCCGGCGCGCGGUCGACUCCCGCGUCCUCCGCGGCCGGCUGGAGCCAGAGGCCUGGGGCAGUCGGAGGAGCCCGGGCUCGGGCGUGGCGGGCGCAGGCCUCCGGCCGGUGAAGACAACACCCAGGGAUGCCGUGUGCCCACCCUCCGACACUCGCGCCUCCUGCGCGCGCUCUGGGCCUUCCCGCGCCGCUCGCCACCCGGUCCAAGCCUCCUGGCGCCGCCUAGUCCACGCGGAAGUCCCCGAGUGACCUGGGGAGGCCCUCCCUCCCCACGCACGCAAAUUCACGAGCCCGCGCGGAACACCAGUGACGCGUGCUCGCCGGACGGGCACCAGCGUCCCCUCCACCCUCUUCCCGCUUCCUGUCCCCGCGCCGCCCAGCGCCGGGCCUGACCGCCGCGUUCCCUCCCGAGCCCAGGCUGCGGUGGAACCUGUUGCUGUGGCUCACGUUUCUCUCCCCUCCCGCCGCCGCUGAGAUGGCUCGGCGAGGCGUGCCUGUGGGAAAUGAGGGGUUGCUGCGGAGCCCCAGUGGCCUCCUGGGUGUGGAGGUGGCCCUGAGGUUGCAGAGAUGAGGAUGGACAGCUGGGAACUAGAGAGCUGUUCUUUGGUGCACCUUGUGACCUGGAAAAGUGCCUGCUCUGUGGCAGAACACAGGGAGGCCAGUGCUUGGCUAGCCCACUUUCCAUUCUGUUUCCAGCUUUCCAUCUCCUGCCAAGAACCCACCCACUUGGGAACAGGAAGCCCUGCCAGCUCCUAGGCCCACUACAGUCUGCAGCUCCGUCCAGCAGGAUGGAGAGAUGAUUUGCAAAGUGAUUGAAAGGUCCUGUCUUCCUGUUUACAGGAAUAUUUUCUCAACUUUGGGCUUGGAGCUUCCCGACUUAGAUUUGACCCCUGAAACCUUUGCAGGUUGGACAUCAGAGGUGCGAGUCAAGCGGGAGUCGUCUCAGACCUCUUCUGUUCCCGCGCCUUCCUCAUCCAUCACCAGGAACAGGGUCUCUCUUGAACAUCCACUGAUCCCUGACCAUUCUCCUCAUGUGGCCUGAGUGGCCUUUCUAACAAUGCAAAUCUGCUUUGCCUCUCCCUUGCUCUAUUAAAACCCCACAGAGCUCCUGGUGCCUUUCAGAGAACUAUGAACCACCACCACCUCCAGUUUCCUUUGGCAAAUUUUAACUCAGCCAGAAAGUCUCAACAUAAAUGUCACUUCCUGCUGGGCAGUUCCUCUGGUUCCUAUUACCCCCUAGGUCAGGUGACCUUCCCAGGACCCAGUGCACUCAGCUGUCAAGGUACUGAGUAAUCACUGGUCUGGUCUACUGGACUCCUGGUAAGAAAUACACCUUACAUUAAGACCUAGGCCAUUCAUAUGUAUAAAAAUACACAUAUCUGAAAAAAGUUUCAUAAAAUUCUUAUAUCAUAAAAUCCUAUUCUAAUGUAUUUAGAACAGAAUAUGCUCACACCUCACUGUGGGACUUUCUAACCAUCAGUGGGUCAGGGCUGUUAGAGUAAAAGAUGCUCUGAAUUCCACAAGAGCAGGGCUAUGUUGUUUGUUGCUGGGUUUAGGAAUGACAUUUUUAAUUCUCAAAAAGCCAUGAUCAUCCCCAUUGCGGGUGAGAAGGCCAAGGACAGCAAGGUCAAGUAACUUGCCAAAGUCACAAAGCUGGUAGAGUAACUGGUAGAGCCAGGACUGGAAGCUGGGCAGUCAUGCAGCUUCCACUUUGUGUCCCUGGCCCUGCUGCGUACAGAUGUUUACCAAGAAAAGGUGUCAGGAGGCAGCACCUCAGACUGGGUCUCAGCCUCCUGCCCUGCACCCUUGGGCAGUUCACACCUGUAGAGAGGAAGCACUGAGGGCACCUUCUUCCUCAGCUUGCCUGUGUUCCGCCUCCUCCAGGGCCACCUAGCUCAGCAAGUGUCAGCAAAGAAGAGAGUUGGUCAUGUCCAGAAAGGCUCCAGAACCCCAGAAGAUGAAACCUCACUUUGUGUGAACUAUGUGCAUUAAGUUCCCCCAAAACAAAUCCUAUGAAAAGGAAGUCAUGGCGAGACUGGGUCUUCAGUAGGAAACAGUCCAGAUUCAUGCUCAAAGUGUAGGGACGAGAUCACGUUUCUCAGUGUCAGUGCUGUUUAUAGGAUUUUAAAUGUGUGAGUCAUAGGAGUUUGAAUAGGUAGGAAGAGAUUUAUUUGCAAAAUUCCCAACCUGAUUCUGAAGUCAUCAGCCCUGACUUUGAGCUCCCCUACGCUGUGGCAUUUAGAGUAAUAAAGACAUGGCUGGCAGAGGGCUUGCAUCUCAUCUUUAUUACAUGAACUGCAUGCAGGUCAUGCCACACGCAGAUGCUCGAGUGACUGUAGUGAACUGGAUAUGGGAUGUCUGGAGCCCGUCCUCCCCCGUCCCCUGACUCUGACCCAGCCUAGGACCUCCGCUUCCCAUGAAAGAGGCCUGACUGCGUGACCGUGGUGUUUGGCACACUGUAAGACUCCACUGGAUGUCUCUAAGUGGAUGGAAUUAGGAAAUACGGCAUCAAAACGGCCCUGAAUCUUUUCAUCGCCAUCCUUGUUGAAAAGCGCCUUGGGUCCCUCUGCUCACCCAAACCAUGGUCUAUCUGUUAGGUACGUGCAAUUUCUCCUUCGUUUCUGCAACUACCAUGGCUUCAUCUUCACUUACUCAUCUAUGUGUCUAGCUAUUUGGGAGAUGGAACCUAAGUACACCUAAUUUGAUUUUCUUCUUUAUUUCAUUUGGACAGAGCUAUACUUUCAUGGACAUAAUUCCCUUUAAAACACACAGGGCUGGGGUUGUGGCUCAGUGGUAGAGUGCUUGUGUAGCAUAUGCAAGAAACUGGGUUCGAUUCUCAGCACUGCAUAUAAAAAAAUAAAGGUCCGUUGCCAACUUAAAAAAAAAAAAUAAAAAGAAAACGCAUACAUGCCUUAAAGGUUUUGAUUCUGUCACAAACUAUGAGAUUGUAUUUAUUUCUUAUGUUUUCCUCAAUAAAAGCAAAAUGGCGCUUAA
This is a long non-coding RNA of Sciurus carolinensis (gray squirrel), 4888 nucleotides long. RefSeq lists it as uncharacterized. NCBI's taxonomy places the organism in Eukaryota, Metazoa, Chordata, Mammalia, Rodentia, Sciuridae. The transcript has 3 exons. The record is from RefSeq and is a predicted model, not a curated record.